This 470-nucleotide ribosomal RNA is filed under the name uncultured bacterium. RNAcentral describes it as "partial 16S ribosomal RNA". It matches the Rfam family "Bacterial small subunit ribosomal RNA", at positions 28 to 507 of the family's 1533-position model. The record is from RNAcentral.
GACGAACGCUGGCGGCGUGCUUAACACAUGCAAGUCGAACGCUGAAGCACCAGCUUGCUGGUGUGGAUGAGUGGCGAACGGGUGAGUAAUACGUGAGUAACCUGCCCUUGACUCUGGGAUAAGCCCGGGAAACUGGGUCUAAUACUGGAUGCUACAUGUCACCGCAUGGUGGUGUGUGGAAAGGGUUUACUGGUCUUGGAUGGGCUCACGGCCUAUCAGCUUGUUGGUGAGGUAAUGGCUCACCAAGGCGACGACGGGUAGCCGGCCUGAGAGGGUGACCGGCCACACUGGGACUGAGACACGGCCCAGACUCCUAUGGGAGGCAGCAGUGGGGAAGAUUGCACAAUGGGCGAAAGCCUGAUGCAGCGACGCCGCGUGAGGGAUGACGGCCUUCGGGUUGUAAACCUCUUUCAGCAGGGAAGAAGCCACAAGUGACGGUACCUGCAGAAGAAGCGCCGGCUAACUACGUG